CCUGUUGGCAGCCUCAGCCCCUGGCGGAGCCCCUCCCGCCGCCGCGGCGAAGCCCCCUGCGGGACGGGGUGGGAGCCCUGGCCGGUCCACGCGCGGCACAGCACUCCGAGCUCGGGAGCCGGUGGGCGUCGCCUGCCCGGAGGCUUAGCUUUGCAAAGUGCCAAAGCGGCAUGGCCGCUCGGCGACUGGGUGAAGGGGCUCCUACCCACCUCGCCCGGUCCCCUUGGCGGCGCGGGGAGAUCAACGAGUGCUAAAAGUACAACUACCGUCUUAUAUAUGGAGAGGGGCAAAAAAGGAAAACCCACUCUCCAGGCAGACAACUGCCCAGAGACAAACCAGCCUCAUCUUCCUGCUUCACCGACUGAGCGUCCCCUUCCCCAGAUCCCAGUGGCCUGCGCUCUCGUCUGGGCCAUCCUGGACUCUGAACCUGGUCAUCAGCCCACACACCACACCAUGCUCGCGCGUUUGUUCUCCAUCUCUCCUUUCGGAGCUGAACCCAUGGCGCCGCGCUCCAGCUUCGUCGACAGUAUCCUCCUCCAGCCUUCCUAGAUAAGGGACCCCUGGUGACCUGUAGUGAUCAUCAUCUGAGCAGAGUCCUGCGAUGAGCUGCAUUCCUCAGGGAUGAGAACGUGUGGUCCCGCUCAUGGGCCCCCUGUGUGGCUCCCGUGUGGGCUGCUGGGGGUCGGCAGUGACCUUGAGGCUCUCAACACACCUGCUUUUAGCUUGGACCUCUUGAGACCUUUGCAGUGUAACAGGAUGCCGACAUUGUUUAUGGAAUACCCUUCUGCCCUUUGAAUUGAUGACCUUCCUUGAUCAUGUGCUCGGCUCCACGUUCCAGGGCACUCUCUAGCCAUCAGUCAUUUCUGCAGGACUUCCCCCCACAUCUGCUCCGGUCCUGUGUGAGAGAAUGUGGGACAGUGCUUUGAAAACUGCGGAGGGUUACGACGCGGACAGAGGGCACGAAGGCUCUCUUGGCCAUUCCACAUGAGGAUGCGUGCAGCGGUGGCCCCUCCACCCGCAGCCGUGGCCACAUGUUCCUCCUCAACCCCGUGGUUGCGGAUUUUCCGAAUUCUUCCAGGAUGAACCUUCCCAGGGAGCGCACCUCCCUCCUCUCCGAGACCCUGUGACACAUGGGUCAAUAGGACGUAUCCCCUGCCCUUGAGGAGGCCACAGCUUGGGACACAUGUCCCUUCCUACUUGCUCUAUAUUCCCUUACCCAGCAUGAACUGGGUCUCCUCCCUCUAGAGGUCCCACUACCUUCCAGGGGCGAAGCUUGGUGGCCUCCUUCUGGGCUUGGUCCUGCUUGACUUGUGUGACCCCAAAUGCACUUGCUGGGCUGUGAAGCAUUGGAAUUUUAGUCCCGGUGUCCAUCAGCCCCGUCCCCUCUGCUCUCUUUUCAGUUACUAGUCUUCCUUCCUAAAUCCAAGCAUGGGAGUUAUGUUCCUGGGCUCCAAAGCCUUCCAUGGCUCUCCUUUCCGUAUGGGGCAUAUGACCAAUCUUAUUUUUAGCAUGACACCCCCUUCCCAUCUUUUCCGUUGGCUUCACUCUGUGUUCUGUCAACAACAGCAUUUUGGGCCUGGGUCCUUGCCCAACCCAUACGCUUGGUCCCUAAGUUCCCACCUCCUGAAUUGCCCCUCCUCUUCACCUCCCCGACCCCUACCACAGACUUCUAUCCAUUCUUCAAGGUCCAAUAAAAAAUUCAUACUAUUGCCUCUUCCCUGACCUCCAUACAAAGAGAAGUUUUUGCACCUAAUGCCCUUUUACUCCAAUCGUACUGUACUGUGUGUAAGGCAAUGCAGUUAUUUUCACAUUUACUUAUCUUUUUCACUGAAUGUGGGCCUAAUUAAUUCAUUUAACCUACUCUCUUUUUGUGCCUGGCAUUUAAUAGAUACUUAAUAAAAG
Non-coding RNA from Manis javanica (Malayan pangolin), 1902 nucleotides. The record is from RefSeq and is a predicted model, not a curated record. Lineage: Eukaryota; Metazoa; Chordata; Mammalia; Pholidota; Manidae.